UAGGGAAUAUUGCGCAAUGGACGAAAGUCUGACGCAGCAACGCCGCGUGGAUGAUGAAGCAUUUCGGUGUGUAAAAUCCUGUCGGUGGGGAAGAAACGUAUGGUGAGUAACUGCUCCAUACUUGACGGUACCCACAGAGGAAGUCCCGGCUAACUCCGUGCCAGCAGCCGCGGUAAUACGGGGGGGACGAGCGUUGUUCGGAUUUACUGGGCGUAAAGGGCGCGUAGGCGGGUCUUCAAGUCGGAUGUGAAAACUAUCAGCUUAACUGGUAGCCUGCAUUUGAUACUGUUGAUCUUGAGUACGGGAGAGGAGAGUGGAAUUCCAGGUGUAGCGGUGAAAUGCGUAGAUAUCUGGAAGAACACCAGUAGCGAAGGCGGCUCUCUGGACCGAUACUGACGCUCAAGCGCGAAGGCUUGGGGAGCAAACAGG
RNAcentral lists this ribosomal RNA (429 nucleotides) under uncultured bacterium. RNAcentral describes it as "bacterial SSU rRNA". It matches the Rfam family "Bacterial small subunit ribosomal RNA", at positions 355 to 776 of the family's 1533-position model. The record is from RNAcentral.